AAGACUCUAGUAAAACAGAAAAUUAUUCUGCUUUGUCAAAGCAGUGUUGUGGGUUUAAACCCCACGUGUCUUG
This 73-nucleotide transfer RNA is filed under the name Andinoacara rivulatus (green terror). RNAcentral's name for it is "tRNA-Asp". It matches the Rfam family "tRNA". From Rfam's summary of the family: Transfer RNA (tRNA) molecules are approximately 80 nucleotides in length. Their secondary structure includes four short double-helical elements and three loops (D, anti-codon, and T loops). Further hydrogen bonds mediate the characteristic L-shaped molecular structure. tRNAs have two regions of fundamental functional importance: the anti-codon, which is responsible for specific mRNA codon recognition, and the 3' end, to which the tRNAs corresponding amino acid is attached (by aminoacyl-tRNA synthetases). tRNAs cope with the degeneracy of the genetic code in two manners: having more than one tRNA (with a specific anti-codon) for a particular amino acid; and 'wobble' base-pairing, i.e. permitting non-standard base-pairing at the 3rd anti-codon position. Lineage: Eukaryota; Metazoa; Chordata; Actinopteri; Cichliformes; Cichlidae. The record is from RNAcentral.